Molecule: RNA transcript, 534 nt
Organism: Condylura cristata (star-nosed mole)
Lineage: Eukaryota; Metazoa; Chordata; Mammalia; Eulipotyphla; Talpidae
Gene name: 40S ribosomal protein S24 pseudogene
Exons: 1
Source: RefSeq, a predicted model, not a curated record
CCUCUGUGGCUGCCUGAAGAGCCACCGCCAUCAUGAAUGACACAGUAACUAUCCGGACUAGGAAAUUCAUGACCAACCGACUGCUUCAGCGGAAACAAAUGGUCAUUGAUGUCCUUCACCCUGGAAAGGCUACAGUACCUAAGACAGAAAUUCGGGAAAAACUAGCGAAAAUGUACAAGACCACCCCUGAUGUCAUCUUUGUAUUUGGAUUCAGAACCCAUUUUGGAGGUGGCAAGACAACUGGCUUUGGCAUGAUUUAUGAUUCCUUGGAUUAUGCAAAGAAAAAUGAACCCAAACAUAGACUUGCAAGACAUGGCCUGUAUGAGAAGAAAAAGACCUCAAGAAAACAGCGAAAGGAACGCAAGAACAGAAUGAAGAAAGUCAGGGGGACUGCAAAGGCCAAUGUUGGUGCUGGCAAAAAGUGAGCUGGAGAUUGGACAACAGAAGGAGUAAAGAUUCUACAGUGACUUUGUCUGUAUCUGUGGUGAUUGUGCAGAUUUUUCAUGAGGAUUAAUAAAUAAAACCUUUUAUGUG